CAAAAUGUAGCUAAAUUAACAAAGUACCUCACUUACACCGAGGAGAUAUCCGUACAAUUCGGGUCAUUUUGA
RNAcentral lists this transfer RNA (72 nucleotides) under Mitsukurina owstoni (goblin shark). Its description in RNAcentral is "tRNA-Val". It matches the Rfam family "tRNA". Rfam says of the family: Transfer RNA (tRNA) molecules are approximately 80 nucleotides in length. Their secondary structure includes four short double-helical elements and three loops (D, anti-codon, and T loops). Lineage: Eukaryota; Metazoa; Chordata; Chondrichthyes; Lamniformes; Mitsukurinidae. The record is from RNAcentral.